GAUGAACGCUGGCGGCGUGCCUAAUACAUGCAAGUCGAACGAAACUUCUUUAUCACCGAGUGCUUGCACUCACCGAUAAAGAGUUGAGUGGCGAACGGGUGAGUAACACGUGGGCAACCUGACCAAAAGAGGGGGAUAACACUUGGAAACAGGUGCUAAUACCGCAUAACCAUAGUUACCGCAUGGUAACUAUGUAAAAGGUGGCUAUACUACCGCUUUUGGAUGGGCCCGCGGCGCAUUAGCUAGUUGGUAGGGUAAAGGCUUACCAAGGCAAUGAUGCGUAGCCGAAUUGAGAGGUUGAUCGGCCACAUUGGGACUGAGACACGGCCCAAACUCCUACGGGAGGCAGCAGUAGGGAAUCUUCCACAAUGGGCGAAAGCCUGAUGGAGCAACGCCGCGUGGGUGAAGAAGGUCUUCGGAUCGUAAAACCCUGUUGUUAGAGAAGAAAGUGCGUGAGAGUAACUGUUCACGUUUCGACGGUAUCUAACCAGAAAGCCACGGCUAACUACGUG
This 512-nucleotide ribosomal RNA is filed under the name uncultured bacterium. RNAcentral describes it as "partial 16S ribosomal RNA". It matches the Rfam family "Bacterial small subunit ribosomal RNA", at positions 28 to 507 of the family's 1533-position model. The record is from RNAcentral.